GACGAACGCUGGCGGCAUGCUUAACACAUGCAAGUCGAACGGGCUGAUUCCUUCGGGAUGAAAGCUAGUGGCGAACGGGUGAGUAAUGUAUGAGUAACCUGCCUCUGUCUACGGGAUAACAUUUGGAAACAAGUGCUAAUACGGUAUAAGACCACAGCACCGCAUGGUGCAGGGGUAAAAGAUUUAUCGGAUAGAGAUGGACUCAUAUCCCAUUAGCUAGUUGGUGAGAUAAUAGCCCACCAAGGCGACGAUGGGUAGCCGAGCUGAGAGGCUGAUCGGCCACAUUGGAACUGAAACACGGUCCAGACUCCUACGGGAGGCAGCAGUGGGGAAUAUUGGGCAAUGGGGGAAACCCUGAUGCAGCAACGCCGCGUGAGGUAUGAAGGCCUUUGGGUUGUAAGCCUCUGUCCUAGGGGAAGAAAAAAUGACGGUACCCGAGAAGGAAGCCCCGGCUAACUACGUGCCAGCAGCCGCGGUAA
RNAcentral lists this ribosomal RNA (479 nucleotides) under uncultured bacterium. Its description in RNAcentral is "bacterial SSU rRNA". It matches the Rfam family "Bacterial small subunit ribosomal RNA", at positions 28 to 523 of the family's 1533-position model. The record is from RNAcentral.